GUGGCGAACGGGUGAGUAACACGUGAGUAACCUGCCCCCGACUCUGGGAUAACUGCUAGAAAUGGUAGCUAAUACCGGAUAUGACGACUGGCCGCAUGGUCUGGUCGUGGAAAGAAUUUCGGUUGGGGAUGGACUCGCGGCCUAUCAGGUUGUUGGUGAGGUAAUGGCUCACCAAGCCUACGACGGGUAGCCGGCCUGAGAGGGUGACCGGCCACACUGGGACUGAGACACGGCCCAGACUCCUACGGGAGGCAGCAGUGGGGAAUAUUGCACAAUGGGCGAAAGCCUGAUGCAGCAACGCCGCGUGAGGGAUGACGGCCUUCGGGUUGUAAACCUCUUUUAGUAGGGAAGAAGCGAAAGUGACGGUACCUGCAGAAAAAGCACCGGCUAACUACGUGCCAGCAGCCGCGGUAAUACGUAGGGUGCAAGCGUUGUCCGGAAUUAUUGGGCGUAAAGAGCUCGUAGGCGGUUUGUCGCGUCUGCUGUGAAAUCCCGAGGCUCAACCUCGGGUCUGCAGUGGGUACGGGCAGACUAGAGUGCGGUAGGGGAGAUUGGAAAUCCUGGUGUAGCGGUGGAAUGCGCAGAUAUCAGGAGGAACACCGAUGGCGAAGGCAGAUCUCUGGGCCGUAACUGACGCUGAGGAGCGAAAGCAUGGGGAGCGAACAGGAUUAGAUACCCUGGUA
This 683-nucleotide ribosomal RNA is filed under the name Clavibacter sp. RNAcentral describes it as "bacterial SSU rRNA". It matches the Rfam family "Bacterial small subunit ribosomal RNA", at positions 95 to 792 of the family's 1533-position model. The record is from RNAcentral. Lineage: Bacteria; Bacillati; Actinomycetota; Actinomycetes; Micrococcales; Microbacteriaceae.